RNAcentral lists this ribosomal RNA (2930 nucleotides) under Capsicum chinense (habanero). Its description in RNAcentral is "bacterial LSU rRNA". It matches the Rfam family "Bacterial large subunit ribosomal RNA". Lineage: Eukaryota; Viridiplantae; Streptophyta; Magnoliopsida; Solanales; Solanaceae. The record is from RNAcentral.
UCAAAUGAGGAAAGGCUUAUAGUGGAUACCUAGGCACCUAGGGACGAGGAAGGGCAUAGUAAUCGACGAAAUGCUUUGGGGAGUUGAAAAUAAGCAUAGAUCUGGAGAUUCCUGAAUAAGGCAACCUUUCGAACUGCUGUUGAAUCCAUGGGUGGUCAAGAGACAACCUGGCGAACUGAAAUAUCUUAGUAGCCAGAGGAAAAGAAAGCAAAAGCGAUUCCCGUAGUAGGGACGAGCGAAAUGGGAUCUGCCUAAACCAUGAAAAUGGGGUUGUGGGAGAGCAAUACAAGCGUCAUGCUGCUAGGCGAAACAACCUAAAUUUUGCACCCUAGAUGGAAAAAGUCUAGUAGUCAAAAGCAUCACUAGCUUAUGCUCUGACCCAAGUAGCAUGGGGCACAUGGAAUCCCAUGUGAAUCAGCAAGGAUCACCUUGAAAGGCUAAAUACUCCUGGGUGACCGAUAGCGAAGUAGUACCGUGAGGGAAGGGUGAAAAAAACCCCCAUCGGGGAGUGAAAUAGAACAUGAAAUCAUAAGCUCCCAAGCAGUGGGAGGAGCUAGGGCUCUGACCGCGUGCCUGUUGAAGAAUGAGUCGAGGACUCAUAGGCAGUGGCUUGGUUAAGGGAACCCACCGGAGCCGUAGCAAAAAUGAUUCUUCAUAGGGCAAUUGUUACUGCUUAUGGACUUGAACCUGGGUGAUCUAUCUAUGACCAGGAUGAAGCUUGGGUGAAACUAAGUGGAGGUACGAACCAACUGAUGUUGAAGAAUCAGUGGAUGAGUUGUGGUUGGGGAUGAAAUGCCACUCGAACCCAGAGCUAGCUGGUUCUCCCUAAAAUGCGUUGAGGCAUAACAGUUGAUUGGACAUCUAGGGGUAAAGCACUGUUUCAGUGCAGGCCGCAAGAGCGGUACCAAAUUAAGGCAAACUCUGAAUAUUAGGUAUGGCCUUAAAAUUAAGAAAGAGGGGUCAAAGUCGGCUAGUGAGACGAUGGGGGAUAAGCUUCAUCGUCGAGAGGGAAACAACCCGGAUCACUAGCUAAGGCCUCUAAAUGGACAUUCAGUGACAAAGGAGGUAGGGGUGCGGAGACAGCCAGGAGGUUUGCCUAGAAGAAGCCACCCUUGAAAGAUUGCGUAAUAUCUCACUGAUCAAGCGCUCUUGCACCGAAGAUGAACGGGGCUAAGUGAUCUGCCGAAGCUGUGGGGUGUAAAAAUACAUCGGUAGGGAAGCGUUUCGCCUUAGAGGGAAGCCUCCGUGUAAGCGGUGGUGGACGAAGCAGAAGAGAGAAUGUCGGCUUGAGUAACGCAAACAUUGGUGAGAAUCUAAUGCCCCGAAAACCUAAGGAUUCCUCCAAAAAUUUUGUCCAGGGAGGGUGAGUCAGGGCCUAAGAUCAGGCCAAAAGGCGUAGUCGAUGGACAAUAGGUGAAUAUUCCUGUACUACCCCUUGUUGGUCCCGAGGGACGGAGAAGGCUAGGUUAGCCGAAAGAUGGUUAUCAGUUCAAGAACGUAAGGUGUCCCUACCCUUUUUUCAGGGUAAGAAGGGGUAGAGAAAAUGCCUCGAGCCAAUCUUCGAAUACCAGGCACUACGGCGCUGAAGUAACCUAUGCCAUACUCCUAGGAAAAGCUCAGGUGGGUAGGUAGAGAAUACCUAGGGGCGCGAGACAACUCUCUCUAAGAAACUUGACAAAAUAGCCUGGUAACUUCAGGAGAAGGGGUGACACUUCACAUCACAAAGGGGGUCGCAGUGACCAGGCCCAGGCGACUAUUUACAAAAAACACAGGUCUCCGUAAAGUCGUAAGACCAUGUAUGGGGGCUGACGCCUGCCCAGUGUUGGAAGGUCAAGAAAGUUGGUGACCUGAUGACAGGGGAGCCAACGACCGAAGCCCCGGUGAAUGGUGGUCGUAACUGUAAUGGUCCUAUGGUAGCGAAAUUCCUUGUCUAGUAAGUUUCGACCCGCACAAAAGGCGUAACGAUCUGGGCACUGUCUCGGNGAAAUAAAGACCCUAUAAAGCUUCACUAUUUCCUGGGAUUGGCUUUGGGCCAUUCCUGCACAGCUUAGGUGGAAGGCGAAGAAGGCCUCCUUCCGAGGGCCCGAGCCAUCAGUGAGAUACUACUCUGGAAGGGCUAGAAUUCUAACUUUGUGUCAGGACGUACAGGCUAAGGUACAGUCUCAGGUAGACAGAUUCUAUGGGGCAUAGGCCUCCUAAAAGGUAACAAAGGCGUACCAAGGUUUCCUCGGGCCGGACGAAGAUUAGCCCUCGAGUGCAAAGGCAGAAGGGAGCUUGACUGUAAGACCCACCCGUCGAGUAGGGAUGAAAGUUUGCCCUAGUGAUCCGAUGGUACUGAGUGGAAGGGCUGUCACUCGACGGAUAAAAUUUACUCUAGCGAUAAUAGUCAGAUCUUCCCCAAGAGCUCACAUCGACGAGAAGGUUUGGAACCUCGAUGUUGACUCUUCGCCACCUGGGUCUGUAGUAUGUUCCAAGGGUUAGGCUGUUCACCUAUUAAAGCGGUACGUGAGCUGGGUUCAGAACGUUGUGAGAUAGUUCGAUCCAUAUCCAGUGUGGGCGUUAGAGCAUUGAGAGGACCUUUCCCUAGUACGAGAGGACCGAGAAGGACACACCUCUGGUGUACCAUUUAUCGUGCCCACGGUAAAUACUGGGUAGCCAAGUGCGGAGCGGAUAACUGCUGAAAGCAUCUAAGUAGUAAGCCCACCCCAAGAUGAGUGCAUUCUUAUUUUGACUUCCCCAGAUCUUUCGGUAGCACAGCCGAGACAGCGAUGGGUUCUCUGCCCCUACGGGUAUGGAGCGACAGAAGUUUUUUUGAGAAUUCAAGAGAAGGUCACGACGAGAUGAGCCAUUUAUCAUUACGAUAGGUGUCAAGUAGAAGUGCAGUGAUGUAUGCAGCUGAGGCAUCCUAACAGACUGGUAGACUUGAACCU